CUCAACCUGGGAAUUGCAUUGGAGACUGCAAGGCUAGAAUCUGGCAGAGGGGGGUAGAAUUCCACGUGUAGCAGUGAAAUGCGUAGAUAUGUGGAGGAACACCGAUGGCGAAGGCAGCCCCCUGGGUCAAGAUUGACGCUCAUGCACGAAAGCGUGGGGAGCAAACAGGAUUAGAUACCCUGGUAGUCCACGCCCUAAACGAUGUCUACUAGUUGUCGGGUCUUAAUUGACUUGGUAACGCAGCUAACGCGUGAAGUAGACCGCCUGGGGAGUACGAUCGCAAGAUUAAAACUCAAAGGAAUUGACGGGGACCCGCACAAGCGGUGGAUGAUGUGGAUUAAUUCGAUGCAACGCGAAAAACCUUACCUACCCUUGACAUGGCUGGAAUCCCCGAGAGAUUGGGGAGUGCUCGAAAGAGAACCA
Molecule: ribosomal RNA, 423 nt
Filed under: uncultured beta proteobacterium
Lineage: Bacteria; Pseudomonadati; Pseudomonadota; Betaproteobacteria
Description: bacterial SSU rRNA
Rfam family: Bacterial small subunit ribosomal RNA
Source: RNAcentral